CAGCAAAGGUGUAAUGGGGUUUGACUGCCCAGACUAUACUGAUGAAGAGAACUGUGCAGAAUGUGGUCCAUUGGAGUGGAUGUGUGGAGAUCUCUCAUGCAUACCAAUAGAGGCAAGAUGUGAUAAGCGAUAUGACUGUCGAGACUACACAGAUGAACUUGACUGUAGAGCAUGUGAUUCAACGCAGUGGACUUGUGGUGAUGGGAACUUUUAUACCCCAAGAAGGCCGUUGU
Molecule: long non-coding RNA, 233 nt
Organism: Penaeus monodon (black tiger shrimp)
Lineage: Eukaryota; Metazoa; Arthropoda; Malacostraca; Decapoda; Penaeidae
Exons: 3
Source: RefSeq, a predicted model, not a curated record